GACGAACGCUGGCGGCGUGCCUAAUACAUGCAAGUAGAACGCUGAAGGAGGAGCUUGCUUCUCCGGAUGAGUUGCGAACGGGUGAGUAACGCGUAGGUAACCUGCCUGGUACGCGGGGGAUAACUAUUGGAAACGAUAGCUAAUACCGCAUAAGAGUAGAUGUUGCAUGACAUUUGCUUAAAAGGUGCAAUUGCAUCACUACCAGAUGGACCUGCGUUGUAUUAGCUAGUUGGUGGGGUAACGGCUCACCAAGGCGACGAUACAUAGCCGACCUGAGAGGGUGAUCGGCCACACUGGGACUGAGACACGGCCCAGACUCCUACGGGAGGCAGCAGUAGGGAAUCUUCGGCAAUGGACGGAAGUCUGACCGAGCAACGCCGCGUGAGUGAAGAAGGUUUUCGGAUCGUAAAGCUCUGUUGUAAGAGAAGAACGAGUGUGGGAGUGGAAAGUU
This 451-nucleotide ribosomal RNA is filed under the name Streptococcus mitis. RNAcentral describes it as "bacterial SSU rRNA". It matches the Rfam family "Bacterial small subunit ribosomal RNA", at positions 28 to 470 of the family's 1533-position model. The record is from RNAcentral. Lineage: Bacteria; Bacillati; Bacillota; Bacilli; Lactobacillales; Streptococcaceae.